Topomyia yanbarensis is the source of this 2239-nucleotide long non-coding RNA. RefSeq lists it as uncharacterized. Lineage: Eukaryota; Metazoa; Arthropoda; Insecta; Diptera; Culicidae. The transcript has 3 exons. The record is from RefSeq and is a predicted model, not a curated record.
UUGAAUAGGAUUGAAGUGCAAGCCGGUUAAUAUUAGGUACAUAUUAACCGGUUUUUUCUUAUACCCAAUCGCCACUGAUUAAUCACUGGACUAAGGCAAUGGUGUCGGGUGCGGUUAAGUUUAAUCUGCUGAAUUUAUUCUUACUGUUGUUCAAACGAAUCGAAUGUGAAGCUGGUGUAAAGGUGAUUCAAAAUGGCGAAAAUUGAAACAGCAGCUUGUGAUUUUAAGGAAAAUUUUGUCGCUAUUAAAAGCGGAACCGGCGGACCACAACCAACAGUAAAAGGAAGGGAAACUGAAAAACGUUCCAACACUUACUAUGAAGUGAACGUUAACAAAUAGUGAGGCUAUUCUAGUUCGAAGCGAGUGCGGAUUUCACAGAAAGGGAACUGUUCGAUGGUGAAAUUUCUAAUUCAAAACCUUGAAGUGAAAAUCAUUUAGCACAAGUGAUUGUAUAUUUGGAAUGGAAGUUUGGAUUGAUCAAUUGAUCCGCAAACAGGAUAGGCAUCAUUCCAAGUAACAAAUGUCCAGAGAAACAAAUGUGUUGAGUAUUCAUAAAGGUUUUCGAAUGCUCUUUUCCCCAUUGAUAUUUUUUCCCAUGACAGACCACAUUUCGUUUCUAUACUGCGUAAGGAUCGAUUUUUCACGAGUAACCGACAAUUGGAUUCAUUAGCAGUACGGUGAAAUUAAAAGUAUACUAUCACGACGUGUCUCUUCGAAGGAAAAAAGAAAAUUUUCUUGCUGCUUAUCCCACAAACUUGAGUGCGGCUAAGAAAAUGUGGAACACUGGAGCAUCGCAUCAAACAAGUAACUUAGUUUUUAAGAAUAUGCAAUAGGUUAGAUUCAAAGGGAAACGUGACUUUUACAUCAAAUUGUGGUAUUUGACCAGUGACUAGCUCAGGUAAAAUUAAUCUGAAGAAAUGAACUAGCCAUGCGGAGAAUUUGUAUUAAAUUUAGUAUAUGAAAUUCUAGUUUAGCAUGUCAGGUAGUGUUAGGUAGUGAUAUUUAAAAUUUCCGAGCAUUUAUGAAAAGUUUCAAGAGACUGCUUAGUACGCAACUGUAAUCAGCAUUUGACUUUCGUCGAUUGCAUGAGUGUUAAAAGUAUGAAAAGUGAACAAUGUGCUCAAGAAAUUGGUAAUUUGAAGCUAUUAUAUGUUUCCUUGGGGAUUGAAAUCAUAUUUUUGUCGAUUGACUAACUUCAAACAUAUGCAACGUUUAUACUUCCGGAUCGAUGAAAACCAUUAGAAAUAAUUUCUGUUUCUAUGCUGGAAUCUUCCAAUUCAAGAAGACGAACUUACUUAUAGGAAAAUGACCACUUUUACUUACUUUCAUUUUUUAUUGCCAGUUUUGCUUCGGAGCAAAACUCUCUCGUCGCCACUUUUAUGUUUUGCUUAGUAAUUCUUUAUAUUUAAACAAUCUUAUCCAACACCCGUAAUGUCUAUUAAAUCAGUCAGAUGUCCCAAGAAGCUCCCUCGUCGCCAGUUGUAAGGUUUGGCUUGUUAGGAUUUUGUGGUCUGACUUCUUCCUAACAGUUCCAUAAAAUUCAAACGUUCUGAUGUUGUGGUUAGCUCUAAGCUUUACGACUGAUAGUAUGUCUAGCCUAUCGAAGACUGAAGCAACGAAGCUUCACUGCUGCAGGUUUUUUCGCUGCAAUGUCUCAUUCUACUUUCUUCCUGCAUACUGCUUAAGAUUAAUUCAGUUAAUCUGACUGAGACAAACAAAACUUUCGGGCAAUCGUAAAAAAACGUACUUCAAUUAUUGUCGUUUCUAUUAAAAACUUCUAUCUGACCUCAUUUAGUCCAUUGCAUUGCAUUUAUUUAUUGGUGUGAGAUAAAAGAAUUAGAUCACCGAACUAAUUCUUUUAUUAAUUUAUUCACUUCUUUUAAUAUCUAUUACUUAACUUCACGUCUGAACUCAGGCAACCAACAACCGUAGUUUCUAUUGAGAUCGUGAGAUUUCGCAAAAAAAACUCCCUCGUCGCCAGUUGUAAUGUUCGGCUUGAAUCGAAUUUUGUGUGUCGAUUUGAGAUGUUCUGGAUCGACGACACAGUUGAGCUCCAAAUUUUGUAUGUUGAGUUUAUUGAAGAUGCAAACUUUAUUUGAAAUCACUUUUUGUUUACAUGUUUCCAUAGCAACCCGUGACUCCAGUGUUGCCGGUUUUGUUUCUAAUGUUUCAUUCCUCUAAUACCAUCUUCUGGUAUCCAACAAUUGUAUUUUCUAUUGAAAUAGUUAGAUUUCUCAUA